GCCGUUAAACCCCCAACUUCUGAAAAUUUGACCUCGGAUCAGGUAGGAAUACCCG
This 55-nucleotide ribosomal RNA is filed under the name Diaporthe longicolla. RNAcentral's name for it is "partial 28S ribosomal RNA". Lineage: Eukaryota; Fungi; Ascomycota; Sordariomycetes; Diaporthales; Diaporthaceae. RNAcentral also lists the same sequence under 1 other name. The record is from RNAcentral.